Papaver somniferum (opium poppy) is the source of this 1206-nucleotide long non-coding RNA. RefSeq lists it as uncharacterized. The transcript has 2 exons. The record is from RefSeq and is a predicted model, not a curated record. Lineage: Eukaryota; Viridiplantae; Streptophyta; Magnoliopsida; Ranunculales; Papaveraceae.
UCUGUGCAAUUGUAGAAGUCCCACAACCCUUGAUGAUCAUGUCAAAAUAUGGGUGAUGCUGAAUUAUGGAGUUCCAGAACCUUGGAUUGCACUUUAUAUUGUGAAGAAUAAAAGUACUAUAGAUGGAUAUUACUCGUGGCUUAUGUGGUCUUUUAAUAGCAUGUUUGGCAACGCUUCAAGAAGCAGCUUUUUUGCUUUUUUAAGCUGAUAAGUUAAAAGCAUGUUUGGGAAUGCUUUUUUUAAACAACUUAUUUAAGCCAAAAAGUGACUUAUUUUUGGAGCCAAAAUUUUUGCUUCCGACUCUGCAGAGAAGUAGCUUCUGGGCUUCUCCUUGGUAAAUGUGUAAUAUUUUAUCAGUGUCCUUCGUAAAUAUAAUCACACUUUCCUGUCACUCUUCACUUUCCUCUUUUAUCUCUUCCCUGUAAAAUCUUCUUCCUUGAAAAUCUAGUUUAGUUUUAAGAAGAAGAUAAAAACUUACAGAGGAGGAGUAGACACCAUUAAAAGAUUAUGGCUUCAAGUUCAAGCCAAGCUCCAUUUCCUUUGUUUGAAGAUGUUAUUGAAGUUCCUGCCAAUUGGUCUCAAGUACAUGAGUCAUAUUUCAUAGAGCUGGUGUUAGAUGAUUCUAGUCCAACAAUAACCUUCUUCCUGGGUUUCCUGUCCGUCCCUCGAAUCACUUACCAAAUGCAAGAUGAUUCUAGUCCAACAAGCUGGCUUUGACAGUCGUUACGAAGAAUUGCAAGUUAGAAUCAAAAUUAGUGUUGCAUCAAACUUAACAGUUUUCAUUUCUAAUAAAUAUAACAAUAAUUGAUUAAAAAAAAUACGUCUGAUAUUUUGACUUCUGAAAUGUAAAUUUACCAAACUUACUUAUUUGCUUUUCAAUUUAUAAGUUAGGUAGUUGCCAAACUAACUUUCCAACUUCUCAGAAGCAGAAGUGCUUUUCUUCUGGUAUCCAAACGCGCUAUAAGAGUGGUGCGAUUCUGUUUGGGGUACUGGUAGUAUGGGCGUAUAUGACCCUGAAUGUGGAAGUGUUAGAGAGACUAACAUUUCUAGCUUGGGACAGUUCUUCCAACAAGAGCUUUAUUUUGAAAGCUUAGUUUAGAUCAAGUCUAGUACUUAUGUAGUGGGAGAAGAAGAAAUAGAAGAACCAAAAUAAGAAGAAGAUGAAGAGCAAGAAGCUGAAGAAUAAAGUGUGAGAAUUUGUUAUCA